GGGAGGAGCCGAGCGGCGUUCGCAGGAGGCAGCUUCCUCGAGCUUCAGGCGCCCGGAGACAAGCGGGAGGACAGGAAUCUCUAAAGAGUGAGAGGAAAACUGAUGACAGGCACUGCCCAAAGAAGAUGGAACUGUCAUAGUGGUUUUUGUUUAGGAUCUGCUUACCCCCCUGAGAACAUAAGCUUGAUGAAGGCAAGGACCGUUUCUUAUCACUGUUGAAUCCCAGUUCCUGGUACAGUGCCUGGCACAUAGUGGAUGGUCGAUGGAUUUAUGAAUGAAUGAACAAAUUAACAAACGACCAUGGGGUGUGUGAAGAACAGUGAGAAGACUGGACUAUUUGGAAAGAAGUAUCUUUCCUUGAGGAGUAGAGGAAUCUCCGAUUCUCCAACAGACUGGCAGAGGAACAAGUAAAUGGGCCUGCAUGGGAUUCAAAACACAGGGGCAAGUGGAACCAGCUGAACAAGAUAACAAUAGAGGUGAAGCCUAACCCUGGAAACCAGUCAAGAUUCCCAGAGAUAAACCCUCGGGCAGCAAGAAACUGACCUUUCGCCUUCUGGAGUCACAGAAUUCCCACAAAUGCUGUGUCCUCAUCAGCUCUGGCAGCCUCGCCACCACAGCCCAGACUUCGACGCCAAUUCAUAAACAGCACGGAGGGGGCUGUGCUAGAAGUCAGAGCUUCUCCACCUCCAGCACCUCAAAAUACAGGCUCCCUGCCGCCCCAUUUUCUUCUAGAGGUUAACCUUCUCCCCAGGCUCACAAAGUUACGAGACAGCCUUUAAGGGGUUUUCCUCUGACAGUGUGGUCUAGUCUGCUGCUGCUGAAGGACCUCAGGAUGGUCCCUAGGCUUUGUGAUUCAAAAUAAGGAGAAUGGAUAAACAGAGACAAGACUGAAGAGGCGGAAGGAAAGGAGGAGAUGAACAAAAGACAGAACAGAAGAAAUGGAAAGUGAGGGGUUAAGACAGUGAGGAGCUCCAGAGCUGAUGAAAUGUAAGAAUCAGAUGCUGCUGUCGAGAAGCAAGCUGCUGAGAAUUCCCUGGCGGUCCAGUGGUUAGGACUCCGCGCUUUCACUGCUGAGGGCCCGGGUUCGGGGAACUAAGGUCACGCAAGCCGUGUGGCACGGCCGAAGAAAACAGCAAGCUGCUGAUCUCCUCAUGGAGUAACCUGUUUUAACGAUCACAACAACCGUGGCAAUUGCUUCCCCUGACCGUUUCCCCUCCCCACCAUUUUUCCAGCCAUGCUUACUAACACUGAGGCAGGAAAAUAAGACCCCAACAGAAAGGUAGUGAGGAAUUGUUAUCAACGUUCCUGAGAGCAAAAGCCAGGCGUGAAUAAUCUUGAUAACCCACAUAGUACCUAGCACAGUGCCUUAUCUAGUCCAGGCGGAUUACUCUGUAACAGACACAAAUAGAGCAAAAAAUACGUGAUGGAUUCCAGCCUAUUUGGAGAAUGGAAGCUGCAGCAGUACAAGGCCAAUUCCAGGGUUUACCCUAAAGUCCACAGAGAUAGUCACUACUUCCCUAUUUAUUUCCACUUACUAUGUAUGGGUUGAGAAGGUGUUUCGAUUGCUCUAUCAGACAACAUUUAUUGAGCAUACGCUGCCUGCUGGUGCUGUGACCCUGUGACUGGAUGAGAAUUCUCAUAGGGCCAAUCAGACAUAAGGACUUACCCUACUAAUGACGUAAACAACGCUUCUAAUGAGCUCUUCCUUAGCAUGCUUGUCCGCUCGGGAAUAACCAAACUGCAGGGCAGUUAUGGAUUAAAGAUAGCUGUCAAUUUUUUGCUGCUUCUCCCAUUGUUAUGUGGAGUCUGAGUCCUCUUUCCUUGAA
Molecule: long non-coding RNA, 1826 nt
Organism: Eubalaena glacialis (North Atlantic right whale)
Lineage: Eukaryota; Metazoa; Chordata; Mammalia; Artiodactyla; Balaenidae
Exons: 6
Source: RefSeq, a predicted model, not a curated record